This 423-nucleotide ribosomal RNA is filed under the name uncultured bacterium. Its description in RNAcentral is "bacterial SSU rRNA". It matches the Rfam family "Bacterial small subunit ribosomal RNA", at positions 354 to 774 of the family's 1533-position model. The record is from RNAcentral.
GUGAGGAAUAUUGGGCAAUGCCCGAAAGGGUGACCCAGCAACGCCGCGUGGAGGAUGAAGGUCGUAAGAUUGUAAACUCCUGUUAGAGGGGAAGAAUAACUAAGUUUGGAGCUUAGUAUGACUGUACCCUCAGAGAAAGCCCCGGCUAACUACGUGCCAGCAGCCGCGGUAAUACGUAGGGGGCAAGCGUUGUCCGGAUUUACUGGGUGCAAAGGGCGCGCAGGCGGAAUGGAAAGUCAGUGGUGAAAUCCUACAGCUUAACUGUAGAACUGCCUUUGAUACUUUCAUUCUUGAGUUCGGGAGAGAGAGACGGAAUUCCAGGUGUAGUGGUGAAAUACGUAGAUAUCUGGAAGAACACCAGUUGCGAAGGCGGUCUCUUGGUCCGAUACUGACGCUGAGGCGCGAAAGCGUGGGGAGCAAACA